UAGAUACCCUAUUAUUUUAGAUUUAAAAAGUUAAGCUUGAGUAGUAUUAGAUAUGGUCUUGAAACUUAAAGAAUUUGGCGGUAUUUUAGUCUAGUUAGAGGAAUCUGUUCCGUUAUCGAUAAUCCACGUUGGACCUUACUCAGUAUAAUUUAAUAUGUAUACCGCUGUUUAUUUGAAAAUCUUUUUAGGGUUAAUUUUCUUUAAAUUUUAAUUGAUUUUAUUUCAGGUCAAGGUGCAGUUUAUGAUUGAGUGGAAAUGGAUUACAUUAUUUAUAAAGUAAACGAAUUAAUAUUUGAAAAUAUUUUAUGAAGGGGGAUUUAAUAGUAAUUAAUAAUAAGAAUUAUUUUUGUGAUUUUAGCUCUAGAAUGGGCACACAUCGCCCGUCACUCUCGUUAUUAAGAUGAGAUAAGUC
RNAcentral lists this ribosomal RNA (412 nucleotides) under Panesthia australis (Australian wood cockroach). Its description in RNAcentral is "partial 12S ribosomal RNA". The record is from RNAcentral. Lineage: Eukaryota; Metazoa; Arthropoda; Insecta; Blattodea; Blaberidae.